RNAcentral lists this ribosomal RNA (339 nucleotides) under uncultured bacterium. RNAcentral's name for it is "bacterial SSU rRNA". It matches the Rfam family "Bacterial small subunit ribosomal RNA", at positions 83 to 422 of the family's 1533-position model. The record is from RNAcentral.
UAGCAAUACACAGUGGCGAACGGGUGAGUAAUGAAUCGCUAAUGUACCCCGGACUCUGGGAUAGCUACCCGAAAGGGUAGGUAAUACCAGAUGAGACCACGAUCAGGCAUCUGAUUGUGCUCAAAGGUCCGCCGGUCUGGGAGCAGGCGAUUUCGUAUCAGCUUGUUGGUGAGGUAAUGGCUCACCAAGGCGACGACGCGUAGCCGGACUGAGAGGUUGGCCGGCCACAUUGGGACUGAGACACUGCCCAGACUCCUACGGGGGGCUGCAGUAACGAAUCUUCCGCAAUGCACGAAAGUGUGACGGAGCGACGCCGCGUGUAGGACGAAGCCCUUCGGG